GUUUUAAUAGUUUAAUAAAAACAUUGGUCUUGUAAAUCAAAAUUGAAUAUUCAAUUCUUAAAACU
This 65-nucleotide transfer RNA is filed under the name Coptotettix longjiangensis. RNAcentral describes it as "tRNA-Thr". It matches the Rfam family "tRNA". From Rfam's summary of the family: Transfer RNA (tRNA) molecules are approximately 80 nucleotides in length. Their secondary structure includes four short double-helical elements and three loops (D, anti-codon, and T loops). Lineage: Eukaryota; Metazoa; Arthropoda; Insecta; Orthoptera; Tetrigidae. RNAcentral also lists the same sequence under 1 other name. The record is from RNAcentral.